Long non-coding RNA from Mugil cephalus (flathead mullet), 1356 nucleotides. RefSeq lists it as uncharacterized. Lineage: Eukaryota; Metazoa; Chordata; Actinopteri; Mugiliformes; Mugilidae. The record is from RefSeq and is a predicted model, not a curated record. The transcript has 2 exons.
GAAAACAAAAACAACUAAUCGUAUAAAACUAUUUGUUUCUUCUGAUGUCCCGGACUAAUGGGAUUCUUUUUUUUUUUUUUUUUUUUUUUCCAUCUUCUAUGCUCUCGUUAAUACAGAGUUCUCACUGAGGACUCAAACCACUGGACCCUGUUUGUCAUCUCCAUCAUUAUUAUUAGCAGGCAUAACAGAGAGCAGCAGCCUCUUGUUUUGAUCUCUUUUGCAACUGGCUACAGAGUCUGCACCUUAGAUUUAUUGAGAGAUUGAAAGAGCUUAGUGUAACUUCACACUUAGAGAAAUAAUUCAUAAUUGUUUUGUAGCAGCAUAUAAUUAUGAGGCUGGGCGUGGCCAGGAGCCAAUUAUGAUGGGGUCGUGGAUAAAAGAGCGGCCCCUCCUACGCCUCCUCCCUCUGUCUCCCGCUGGCGUAAUUUCCGGGACGUCCUGUGUGGCUGCAAGUUUUGCCAGUUUUGUAUUUGCGGGAGCCUUAACUAUUUCUUGUGCUGUGACAAAGGGGCUGUGGGUGGAUUCUGGCUCCAUGUGGUCUCCUUGUCUGGUGCGUAUCCUCUCUCGUUGUGCUGGAUCUCUCGUUAUCAGUAGUUUAAUGUAGUGUGGUCACAGGUAAAUGCUGGUAGCGGCUCGCUGCUCUUGCCUCGUCUCACUGGUUGCAUGAACAGGUGCUGUACCAUAAGGAUCAAGUCCAUCACCUCCAUUGGCUCCCUUCCGUCUGCAUGACCUCUGCUGCUUUGUCCUGCUUCAAGUUCCUGUCCGUCCGUGCAGCUGUUUCCCGGCUCGGGUUUGGCUGGCUCCGGCGUGCUGCGGUGCUUUGCUGCCGUCCGUCCUAUUGCGCUGGUCGCCCACCUGUGGUUGGGUCGUUCGCCUUCGCCGCGGCUCGUAGCAGCCCGUUCUCGGCUGCCAGCGUCCGCUCUUUUUUUAGUGAGGGUUUCGUGACCCCUUUUAUCUGGUUCACACUUUCGGAUUUCGUUUUUCAUUCAAUUCCGAUUGUGUUCAAUUGAUGCUGGCGAUUUGAUUUGUAUUACCAGUUUUAUCAUUUCAUCUGGUGAUAUUUUAACUUUGUAUCUUUGCUGAUUAUAUUUGGUGCUUUUCUUUUUGUUUCAGGGGCUGACGGCCUGUAGUGGUGUGGGUGAUCGUAGGAGAUUCUCCUGUCUGCUGUGCCGUUUCCAGGGAUGUGGGUCGUUCACGGGUGUGCUCUUUUCACGUGUGUCUGGGGGAACUUUUACUUUGGGGACCCCUCCUUUCGCUUGCCCUAGCUACUUUUAGGCCGAAGCCCUUGAUUAACUUUUGUUUUUGCAUUUUCUUUUGUUUGGAUCCUUUGUAUUAAUAAAAUAUUAUUGUGACUAA